CCUACGGGAGGCUGCAGUGAGGAAUAUUGGUCAAUGGGCGGAAGCCUGAACCAGCCAAGUCGCGUGAGGGAAUAAGGCCCUACGGGUCGUAAACCUCUUUUGCCGGGGAGCAAGGGCGUGGACGUGUCCCGGCCCGGAUAGUACCCGGAGAAAAAGCAUCGGCUAACUCCGUGCCAGCAGCCACGGUAAUACGGAGGAUGCUAGCGUUAUCCGGAUUUAAUGGGUUUAAAGGGUGCGUAGGCGGGCUUUUAAGUCAGCGGUAAAAAUUCGGGGCGCAACCCCGUCCGGUCGGUGAUACUGGGGGACUUGAGUGGGAGAGAAGAAGGCGGAAUGCGUGGUGUAGCGGUGAAAUGCAUAGAGA
Molecule: ribosomal RNA, 361 nt
Filed under: uncultured bacterium
Lineage: Bacteria
Description: partial 16S ribosomal RNA
Rfam family: Bacterial small subunit ribosomal RNA
Source: RNAcentral